CCCAACUAUCCCUAUUAAUCAUUACGUCAACCCUAGAAACCAACAAAAUAGGAUCAAACGUCCUAUUUUAUUAUUCCAUGCUAAUGUAUUCAAGCGUUAGCCUGCUUUAAACACUCUAAUUUUUUCAAACAGUCCUGUUUCCCCGCAACACCAAAUUAAUGGCAUCACGGUUCUUCAAGAAGGAGGAAUCAGCAAGGCCAGUUCAUACCAGUGGCACGACCAACCUGCUGACCCCGAAAUUCAACUACGAGCUUUUUAACUGCAACAACUUUAAUAUACGCUAUUGGAGCUGGAAUUACCGCGGCUGCUGGCACCAGACUUGCCUCCAA
RNAcentral lists this unclassified non-coding RNA (329 nucleotides) under uncultured Glomerales. Its description in RNAcentral is "sequence contains 18S rRNA gene". Lineage: Eukaryota; Fungi; Glomeromycota; Glomeromycetes; Glomerales; Glomeraceae. The record is from RNAcentral.